This 1718-nucleotide long non-coding RNA is filed under the name Gallus gallus (chicken). Its description in RNAcentral is "long non-coding RNA NONGGAT003210". Lineage: Eukaryota; Metazoa; Chordata; Aves; Galliformes; Phasianidae. The record is from RNAcentral.
GUGGCGAAGAAGAUGUGUGGGGGAACGGAGAACCCUCAGGGAUCUUCUGGGGAGGUACCCGAGGAGGAAAAUGCAGACCUAACCACUGUGCCUGGCAGUAUCCCUCCUCGCCUUGGCUGUUUUUGCAGGACAUCUGUGGCACCCUCAACAUCACUGCUUUGGGCAGCUGUUCUCCUCUUGCUUACAACCUCAGUAGUCUCUGAGUGCUUUAUCACAUGUUAUGACUGGGAGCGCACAUUUAUAACUUUAAGUUAUCAGACGGCUCCUGUAUUCCUCCUUAGCAAUUUUUAGGUCCGUGGCAGUCCAGCUAGCCUUGAGAGCUGGCUGUGGACUGAAUCUCCUAUAUGCGUCCGAGUGGUUAGUAAGCAAAUACAGUGAAGUUAGGAAUGACUCCUUUUGGAGUGAGGAUGCACAGCCUUGGACCAUUCAAUACCAACAAGUUCUUUACUAUGAGAAUGGUGAGGUGCUGGAACAGGCUGCCCCGAGGGGUUGAGGAUGCCCCGCCCCUGGGGGUGUUCAAGGCCAGGUUGGAUGGGACCCUUGGCAGCCUGGUCUAGUAUGAAAUGUGGAGGUUGGUGGCCCUGCCUGUGGCGGGGAGGAUUGGAGCUUCAUGAUCCCGAUGGUCCCUUCCAACCCAAGCCAUUCUAUGAGUCUGCAAUACCCGAUCCAAGGUCACUAUUGCCUAAGUCACUAGAUCACAGGAGGAGAUUGGGUUGUUCAGCAGGACCUGCCUUUCAGGAACCCUGGCCUUGCACAUGCCGAGUGGUCUCACUCAACACACUCUAUUUCUUUUCUGCAAAGUUCUUAAUUGCAUGCUGUUUUGCUACUUGGGCAUAAUUCAGGGGAGUACUUUACAUAAAUCAAAUAUAUCUUGAAAUAUACUUUGACCGUUCCGUUUUUUCCUCCUAGAUAUACAUAGGCAUAUCUGUGGUCAGUAGCGAGGUCGAGUAGAAGGAAUAUACAGUCUUUUGAGAUCAGUGUGUUCAGCUUUCCUUUCCAUUACCCAUCACCUAAGUCCUGUGCAUUCAUGUUGUCUGAGUUGUCUGAGGUCUUUUGGAAAAUUCCUAGUGCAGUUCAGAGGUGGGCUCUUUGUUGUUGGUGUUUUUUUUUUUUCCCAAUUUGUUUUUUGUUAUUAUUUUUAUAAUUACCUGAUAGUACCUCAUGUGGCUUUCACAGAAUUAACAGCCUAAAAAAAGGAUGUAGGAGGAAAGCAACAACCAAGAAAAAUCCCAACAGCAUCAACUUGAGGCAAGGAAGCAAUGGCUUGAAAUGAUGGCAGUGUCACCCAGCAGCCCGCACAGUGACCUGAUUGGUUGGCCUCAUUGUCUGGGGCAGCUCAUGAUAGAAGUGGACAGUAUCACAGUGUGAGUGAAGGUCAGCGUAGGAGCAGCUGCUGAUGGGAGGAAGGAAGUCCAGGCUCAUGGACUCUGGAGCAUCUCCCAGUACAGUACCAGAGGAGGCAGGAAUGAUGUUGCAGAAGAACAUGAGAAGCUCCCCAGCAGGAAGCCACAAACUCUGCAGAAAGCUACAGGAGAGGUGGAACAUGUGUGGAUGCCCAGGAGGAAGUCCAGCCCCAGUAUUUGAGCAGUGCCUGGCCAUGGAGAACUGCGGCCCAAGAACAGAGCUAUUCUGCCUUUGCCAAGAAGGACUUGUCUGUCCUUGUAAAAAGCAGAAAGCUGGCUCAUCCAAAUGCUUGCUGAUUGCUUGGGAGCUCAAAU